RNAcentral lists this ribosomal RNA (1444 nucleotides) under uncultured bacterium. RNAcentral's name for it is "bacterial SSU rRNA". It matches the Rfam family "Bacterial small subunit ribosomal RNA". The record is from RNAcentral.
ACGCUAGCUACAGGCUUAACACAUGCAAGUCGAGGGGCAGCAUUUCAGUUUGCUUGCAAACUGGAGAUGGCGACCGGCGCACGGGUGAGUAACACGUAUCCAACCUGCCGAUAACUCGGGGAUAGCCUUUCGAAAGAAAGAUUAAUACCCGAUGGUAUAAUCAGACCGCAUGGUCUUGUUAUUAAAGAAUUUCGGUUAUCGAUGGGGAUGCGUUCCAUUAGGCAGUUGGUGAGGUAACGGCUCACCAAACCUUCGAUGGAUAGGGGCUCUGAGAGGAAGGUCCCCCACAUUGGAACUGAGACACGGUCCAAACUCCUACGGGAGGCAGCAGUGAGGAAUAUUGGUCAAUGGGCGCAGGCCUGAACCAGCCAAGUAGCGUGAAGGAUGACUGCCCUAUGGGUUGUAAACUUCUUUUAUAUGGGAAUAAAGUUUUCCACGUGUGGAAUUUUGUAUGUACCAUAUGAAUAAGGAUCGGCUAACUCCGUGCCAGCAGCCGCGGUAAUACGGAGGAUCCGAGCGUUAUCCGGAUUUAUUGGGUUUAAAGGGAGCGUAGGUGGACAGUUAAGUCAGUUGUGAAAGUUUGCGGCUCAACCGUAAAAUUGCAGUUGAUACUGGCUGUCUUGAGUACAGCAGAGGUGGGCGGAAUUCGUGGUGUAGCGGUGAAAUGCUUAGAUAUCACGAAGAACUCCGAUUGCGAAGGCAGCUCACUGGACUGCAACUGACACUGAUGCUCGAAAGUGUGGGUAUCAAACAGGAUUAGAUACCCUGGUAGUCCACACAGUAAACGAUGAAUACUCGCUGUUUGCGAUAUACAGUAUGCGGCCAAGCGAAAGCAUUAAGUAUUCCACCUGGGGAGUACGCCGGCAACGGUGAAACUCAAAGGAAUUGACGGGGGCCCGCACAAGCGGAGGAACAUGUGGUUUAAUUCGAUGAUACGCGAGGAACCUUACCCGGGCUUAAAUUGCAUUUGAAUAUAUUGGAAACAGUAUAGCCGUAAGGCAAAUGUGAAGGUGCUGCAUGGUUGUCGUCAGCUCGUGCCGUGAGGUGUCGGCUUAAGUGCCAUAACGAGCGCAACCCUUAUCUUUAGUUACUAACAGGUCAUGCUGAGGACUCUAGAGAGACUGCCGUCGUAAGAUGUGAGGAAGGUGGGGAUGACGUCAAAUCAGCACGGCCCUUACGUCCGGGGCUACACACGUGUUACAAUGGGGGGUACAGAAGGCAGCUACCUGGUGACAGGAUGCUAAUCCCAAAAGCCUCUCUCAGUUCGGAUCGAAGUCUGCAACCCGACUCCGUGAAGCUGGAUUCGCUAGUAAUCGCGCAUCAGCCAUGGCGCGGUGAAUACGUUCCCGGGCCUUGUACACACCGCCCGUCAAGCCAUGAAAGCCGGGGGUACCUGAAGUACGUAACCGCAAGGAGCGUCCUAGGGUAAAACUGGUAAUUGGGG